GACGAACGCUGGCGGCGUGCUUAACACAUGCAAGUCGAACGGAAAGGCUCCAGCUUGCUGGAGUACUCGAGUGGCGAACGGGUGAGUAACACGUGGGUGAUCUGCCCUGCACUUCGGGAUAAGCCUGGGAAACUGGGUCUCAUACCGGAUAGGACCGCACUUUGGUGUGUGUGGUGGAAAGGUUUUUCUGGUGUGGGAUGAGCUCGCGGCCUAUCAGUUUGUUGGUGGGGUAAUGGCCUACCAAGACGGCGACGGGUAGCCGGCCUGAGAGGGUGGACGGUCACAUUGGGACUGAGAUACGGCCCAGACUCCUACGGGAGGCAGCAGGGGGGAAUAUUGCACAAUGGGGGAAACCCGGAUGCAGCGACGCCGCGGGGGGGAUGAAGGCCUUCGGGUUGUAAACUCCUUUCGCUAGGGACGAAGCUUUUUGUGACGGUACCUGGAGAAGAAGCACCGGCUAACUACGUG
This 468-nucleotide ribosomal RNA is filed under the name uncultured bacterium. Its description in RNAcentral is "partial 16S ribosomal RNA". It matches the Rfam family "Bacterial small subunit ribosomal RNA", at positions 28 to 507 of the family's 1533-position model. The record is from RNAcentral.